AUUGAACGCUGGCGGCAGGCCUAACACAUGCAAGUCGAGCGGAUGAAGGGAGCUUGCUCCUGGAUUCAGCGGCGGACGGGUGAGUAAUGCCUAGGAAUCUGCCUGGUAGUGGGGGAUAACGUCCGGAAACGGGCGCUAAUACCGCAUACGUCCUGAGGGAGAAAGUGGGGGAUCUUCGGACCUCACGCUAUCAGAUGAGCCUAGGUCGGAUUAGCUAGUUGGUGGGGUAAAGGCCUACCAAGGCGACGAUCCGUAACUGGUCUGAGAGGAUGAUCAGUCACCCGGAAACGGAGACACGGCCCAGACCCCUAGGGGGGGCCACAGUGGGGAAUUUUGGAAAAGGGGCGAAACCCUGACCCAGCCAUGCCGGGUGGGGGAAGAAGGGUUUGGGAUUGAAAAGCAAUUUAAGUUGGGAGGAAGGUCAGGAAGUUAAUACCUUGCUUUUUUGACGUUACCAACAAAAAAAGCACCGGCUAACUUCGU
This 483-nucleotide ribosomal RNA is filed under the name uncultured bacterium. Its description in RNAcentral is "partial 16S ribosomal RNA". It matches the Rfam family "Bacterial small subunit ribosomal RNA", at positions 30 to 506 of the family's 1533-position model. The record is from RNAcentral.